AGUGGCGGACGGGUGAGUAACACGUAGGUAACCCGUCCAGAAGCGGGGGACAACAUUUGGAAACAGAUGCUAAUACCGCAUAACAGCGUUGUUCGCAUGAACAACGCUUAAAACAUGGCUUCUCGCUAUCACUUCUGGAUGGACCUGCGGUGCAUUAGCUUGUUGGUGGGGUAACGGCCUACCAAGGCGAUGAUGCAUAGCCGAGUUGAGAGACUGAUCGGCCACAAUGGGACUGAGACACGGCCCAUACUCCUACGGGAGGCAGCAGUAGGGAAUCUUCCACAAUGGGCGCAAGCCUGAUGGAGCAACACCGCGUGAGUGAAGAAGGGUUUCGGCUCGUAAAGCUCUGUUGUUAAAGAAGAACACGUAUGAGAGUAACUGUUCAUACGUUGACGGUAUUUAACCAGAAAGUCACGGCUAACUACGUGCCAGCAGCCGCGGUAAUACGUAGGUGGCAAGCGUUAUCCGGAUUUAUUGGGCGUAAAGAGAGUGCAGGCGGUUUUCUAAGUCUGAUGUGAAAGCCUUCGGCUUAACCGGAGAAGUGCAUCGGAGACUGGAUAACUUGAGUGCAGAAGAGGGUAGUGGAACUCCAUGUGUAGCGGUGGAAUGCGUAGAUAUAUGGAAGAACACCAGUGGCGAAGGCGGCUACCUGGUCUGCAACUGACGCUGAGACUCGAAAGCAUGGGUAGC
This 690-nucleotide ribosomal RNA is filed under the name uncultured bacterium. Its description in RNAcentral is "bacterial SSU rRNA". It matches the Rfam family "Bacterial small subunit ribosomal RNA", at positions 94 to 769 of the family's 1533-position model. The record is from RNAcentral.